UACGAAGGGGCCUAGCGUUGUUCGGAAUCACUGGGCGUAAAGCGCACGUAGGCGGAUUCGUAAGUCAGGGGUGAAAUCCCGGGGCUCAACCUCGGAACUGCCUUUGAUACUGCGGGUCUUGAGUCCGAUAGAGGUGGGUGGAAUUCCUAGUGUAGAGGUGAAAUUCGUAGAUAUUAGGAAGAACACCGGUGGCGAAGGCGGCCCACUGGAUCGGUACUGACGCUGAGGCGCGAAAGCGUGGGGAGCGAACAGG
RNAcentral lists this ribosomal RNA (253 nucleotides) under uncultured bacterium. Its description in RNAcentral is "partial 16S ribosomal RNA". It matches the Rfam family "Bacterial small subunit ribosomal RNA", at positions 524 to 776 of the family's 1533-position model. The record is from RNAcentral.